Oreochromis aureus is the source of this 1173-nucleotide long non-coding RNA. RefSeq lists it as uncharacterized. Lineage: Eukaryota; Metazoa; Chordata; Actinopteri; Cichliformes; Cichlidae. The transcript has 2 exons. The record is from RefSeq and is a predicted model, not a curated record.
CCUGCAUGAAAUGAGAUGGAUAUCGGUGAAGAGACAGAGAGGGGGACAAGGGACAGGCAAAAUGAACGAGAAGUAGUGGAAGAUGGAUGCAGAGGAGAGCGGACUUAGAAAUAUUUAUUAAAAACACCCACAAAACGUAAGAAAAAAUAGCUUAAUGUUCCAUGUGCAUAUGGAUACAUGAUUAAUAACAACUUCUCUGGGACUAGAAUUACUAUAUUGUUGAUGGUGCAUUAUGGUAUUUUAUCAAACCAUCCACUGCAGGACUGAAUCCCAAGCCUAAAGGUUGCUGUGACUGUUCAACCAAAACUUGACAGGGAGUCUGGUGUUGAUUGUCCAAACGCAAUUCUUGUAUUUCAUCUCCAUAUCCAGGAGUUGUGGCUGGACAUCAUGCUCCCAACUCUCAUUCUCUACCUCCUGCAAUAGCGCAGAAGUCAACAGAGGAAUUAACUGACUGUCCUAAGACUUCAUGGUAACUGUUCUCCAGAGAUACAGGGUCUGUUCUGGAUGACUGUUAACCAGUCAUGACAUGCAUAGUUAGAGCAAAUGAAAACAAAUAAUGAACUCUAAAGGCCAAAAAAUGCACAACAGAUUUACUUUUUCAAGUGGACCAUUAUGGCAUUUGCUAUAAUGGUUCAAGUGAUAGUCAUGUUAUAUUUGAACUUUAUUAGCAUUUUUUCUUCAGAGUUAUAACAACCACAAGAACUUGGUUCUCAAAUUAAAGUCACUUUUGGUAAUUUCAGUUAAGUCUCCAGAGGCAGGACUGUGGCCUAUCAUGUAAUUAUUGUGGGGUUUACUUUUUCUUUUCUUUUACACUUCUGUAUAGAAGUCUGUGUCGAUAAGCUCUGUAAGCUAUUUAAUUUGUUUUAGGAGAACAUUAUACUAACCUGACGAAUUUAAUGAGAAUAGAUAUUCAAUAUUUACAUGGAUGUUUGUGUUUAUAUUUCCACAAGAGUUGUUUGUGUGAGUAAAUAUAAUGCUGCAUUAAUGUUAAGUUGAACUUUUAAUUUAAUUCCAUUGUUCGUAUGUUUAAAGUUUAAAUUGAUCUAAUACCCAUUAUAAUGAUGUUUAACAUAGAAUGUCAUGAUGUGCUUUGCUGACUUAGAAAAUAUAUAAUGAAUGAAAUAUUUUCUUUUAUCAAGUUGUUUGUGUAGAAAAAUAAAGUUUUAGAUAUCA